GGUUAAGUUAGAAAGGGCGCACGGUGGAUGCCUUGACACUAGGAGUCGAUGAAGGACGGGACUAACGCCGAUAUGCUUCGGGGAGCUGUAAGUAAGCUUUGAUCCGAAGAUUUCCGAAUGGGGAAACCCACCAUACGUAAUGGUAUGGUAUCCUUAUCUGAAUACAUAGGGUAAGGAAGACAGACCCAGGGAACUGAAACAUCUAAGUACCUGGAGGAAGAGAAAGCAAAUGCGAUUUCCUGAGUAGCGGCGAGCGAAACGGAACAUAGCCCAAACCAAGAGGCUUGCCUCUUGGGGUUGUAGGACAUUCUAUAUGGAGUUACAAAGGAACGAGGUAGACGAAGCGACCUGGAAAGGUCCGUCGUAGAGGGUAACAACCCCGUAGUCGAAACUUCGUUCUCUCUUGAAUGUAUCCUGAGUACGGCGGAACACGUGAAAUUCCGUCGGAAUCUGGGAGGACCAUCUCCCAAGGCUAAAUACUCCCUAGUGAUCGAUAGUGAACCAGUACCGUGAGGGAAAGGUGAAAAGCACCCCGGAAGGGGAGUGAAAGAGAUCCUGAAACCGUGUGCCUACAAAUAGUCAGAGCCCGUUAACGGGUGAUGGCGUGCCUUUUGUAGAAUGAACCGGCGAGUUACGAUCCCGUGCGAGGUUAAGCUGAAGAGGCGGAGCCGCAGCGAAAGCGAGUCUGAAUAGGGCGUUUAGUACGUGGUCGUAGACCCGAAACCAGGUGAUCUACCCAUGUCCAGGGUGAAGUUCAGGUAACACUGAAUGGAGGCCCGAACCCACGCACGUUGAAAAGUGCGGGGAUGAGGUGUGGGUAGCGGAGAAAUUCCAAUCGAACCUGGAGAUAGCUGGUUCUCCCCGAAAUAGCUUUAGGGCUAGCCUUAAGUGUAAGAGUCUUGGAGGUAGAGCACUGAUUGGACUAGGGGUCCUCAUCGGAUUACCGAAUUCAGUCAAACUCCGAAUGCCAAUGACUUAUCCUUAGGAGUCAGACUGCGAGUGAUAAGAUCCGUAGUCAAAAGGGAAACAGCCCAGACCGCCAGCUAAGGUCCCAAAGUGUGUAUUAAGUGGAAAAGGAUGUGGAGUUGCUUAGACAACUAGGAUGUUGGCUUAGAAGCAGCCACCAUUUAAAGAGUGCGUAAUAGCUCACUAGUCGAGUGACUCUGCGCCGAAAAUGUACCGGGGCUAAAUACACCACCGAAGCUGCGGAUUGAUACCGAAUGGUAUCAGUGGUAGGGGAGCGUUCUAAGGACAGUGAAGUCAGACCGGAAGGACUGGUGGAGUGCUUAGAAGUGAGAAUGCCGGUAUGAGUAGCGAAAGACGGGUGAGAAUCCCGUCCACCGAAUGCCUAAGGUUUCCUGAGGAAGGCUCGUCCGCUCAGGGUUAGUCAGGACCUAAGCCGAGGCCGACAGGCGUAGGCGAUGGACAACAGGUUGAUAUUCCUGUACCACCUCUUUAUCGUUUGAGCAAUGGAGGGACGCAGAAGGAUAGAAGAAGCGUGCGAUUGGUUGUGCACGUCCAAGCAGUUAGGCUGAUAAGUAGGCAAAUCCGCUUAUCGUAAAGGCUGAGCUGUGAUGGGGAAGCUCCUUAUGGAGCGAAGUCUUUGAUUCCCCGCUGCCAAGAAAAGCUUCUAGCGAGAUAAAAGGUGCCUGUACCGCAAACCGACACAGGUAGGCGAGGAGAGAAUCCUAAGGUGUGCGAGAGAACUCUGGUUAAGGAACUCGGCAAAAUGACCCCGUAACUUCGGGAGAAGGGGUGCUUUCUUAACGGAAAGCCGCAGUGAAUAGGCCCAAGCGACUGUUUAGCAAAAACACAGCUCUCUGCGAAGCCGUAAGGCGAAGUAUAGGGGGUGACACCUGCCCGGUGCUGGAAGGUUAAGGAGAGGGGUUAGCGUAAGCGAAGCUCUGAACUGAAGCCCCAGUAAACGGCGGCCGUAACUAUAACGGUCCUAAGGUAGCGAAAUUCCUUGUCGGGUAAGUUCCGACCCGCACGAAAGGUGUAACGAUUUGGGCACUGUCUCAACCAGAGACUCGGUGAAAUUAUAGUACCUGUGAAGAUGCAGGUUACCCGCGACAGGACGGAAAGACCCCGUGGAGCUUUACUGUAGCCUGAUAUUGAAUUUUGGUACAGUUUGUACAGGAUAGGCGGGAGCCUUUGAAACCGGAGCGCUAGCUUCGGUGGAGGCGCUGGUGGGAUACCGCCCUGACUGUAUUGAAAUUCUAACCUACGGGUCUUAUCGACCCGGGAGACAGUGUCAGGUGGGCAGUUUGACUGGGGCGGUCGCCUCCUAAAGUGUAACGGAGGCGCCCAAAGGUUCCCUCAGAAUGGUUGGAAAUCAUUCGUAGAGUGCAAAGGCAUAAGGGAGCUUGACUGCGAGACCUACAAGUCGAGCAGGGACGAAAGUCGGGCUUAGUGAUCCGGUGGUUCCGCAUGGAAGGGCCAUCGCUCAACGGAUAAAAGCUACCCCGGGGAUAACAGGCUUAUCUCCCCCAAGAGUCCACAUCGACGGGGAGGUUUGGCACCUCGAUGUCGGCUCAUCGCAUCCUGGGGCUGUAGUCGGUCCCAAGGGUUGGGCUGUUCGCCCAUUAAAGCGGUACGCGAGCUGGGUUCAGAACGUCGUGAGACAGUUCGGUCCCUAUCCGUCGUGGGCGUAGGAAAUUUGAGAGGAGCUGUCCUUAGUACGAGAGGACCGGGAUGGACGCACCGCUGGUGUACCAGUUGUUCUGCCAAGGGCAUAGCUGGGUAGCUAUGUGCGGAAGGGAUAAGUGCUGAAAGCAUCUAAGCAUGAAGCCCCCCUCAAGAUGAGAUUUCCCAUAGCGUAAGCUAGUAAGAUCCCUGAAAGAUGAUCAGGUUGAUAGGUUCGAGGUGGAAGCAUGGUGACAUGUGGAGCUGACGAAUACUAAUAGAUCGAGGACUUAACCAU
RNAcentral lists this ribosomal RNA (2923 nucleotides) under Bacillus paranthracis. RNAcentral describes it as "23S ribosomal RNA". It matches the Rfam family "Bacterial large subunit ribosomal RNA". The record is from RNAcentral. Lineage: Bacteria; Bacillati; Bacillota; Bacilli; Caryophanales; Bacillaceae.